This 206-nucleotide long non-coding RNA is filed under the name Elaeis guineensis (African oil palm). RNAcentral's name for it is "long non-coding RNA (EGUI_LNC043611)". The record is from RNAcentral. Lineage: Eukaryota; Viridiplantae; Streptophyta; Magnoliopsida; Arecales; Arecaceae.
CUGCCAUCUGAAUUUGAACUUGUUGUCAGACUUCUGAAAGUAGAUCUAAGUCAGCUCUCUGAAUUAUGAAUUGCUCGGCUCGUUGUACUGCUCUAUCCUGAUUGAUGGUAAUUCGAUCUCAAGUGGGAUCAUCACUUCUGUUCCAUAAGUCAGAUUAAAUGGUGACUUUCUCAUUGGUAUGCGAAGAGUUGUUCGAUAUACGCAUA